RNAcentral lists this ribosomal RNA (253 nucleotides) under uncultured bacterium. Its description in RNAcentral is "partial 16S ribosomal RNA". It matches the Rfam family "Bacterial small subunit ribosomal RNA", at positions 524 to 776 of the family's 1533-position model. The record is from RNAcentral.
UACAGAGGUGGCAAGCGUUGUUCGGAAUUACUGGGCGUAAAGGGCGCGUAGGCGGUCCCGUCAGUCCCUUGUGAAAUCCCCUGGCUCAACCAGGGAACUGCGUCCGAUACUGAUUGGCUUGAAUCCGGGAGAGGGAUGUGGAAUUCCAGGCGUAGCGGUGAAAUGCGUAGAUAUCUGGAGGAACACCGGUGGCGAAGGCGGCAUCCUGGACCGGUAUUGACGCUGAGGCGCGAAAGCCAGGGGAGCAAACGGG